AUUGAACGCUGGCGGCAGGCCUAACACAUGCAAGUCGAACGGUAACAGGAAACAGCAUGCUGUUUCGCUGACGAGUGGCGUACGGGUGAGUAAUGUCUGGGAAACUGCCUGAUGGAGGGGGAUAACUACUGGAAACGGUAGCUAAUACCGCAUAACGUCGCAAGACCAAAGAGGGGGACCCUCGGGCCUCUUGCCAUCGGAUGUGCCCAGAUGGGAUUAGCUUGUUGGUGGGGUAACGGCUCACCAAGGCGACGAUCCCUAGCUGGUCUGAGAGGAUGACCAGACACACUGGAACUGAGACACGGUCCAGACUCCUACGGGAGGCAGCAGUGGGGAAUAUUGCACAAUGGGCGCAAGCCUGAUGCAGCCAUGCCGCGUGUAUGAAGAAGGCCUUCGGGUUGUAAAGUACUUUCAGCGGGGAGGAAGGGAGUAAAGUUAAUACCUUUGCGCAUUGACGUUACCCGCAGAAGAAGCACCGGCUAACUCCGUG
Molecule: ribosomal RNA, 490 nt
Filed under: uncultured bacterium
Lineage: Bacteria
Description: partial 16S ribosomal RNA
Rfam family: Bacterial small subunit ribosomal RNA
Source: RNAcentral